GGACAACCUGCCCUAAGGUGAGGGAUAACUCCGGGAAACUGGAGAUAAUACCUCAUAGUUUACCAUCGCUGGAAUGCCUGGUAAGCCAAAGGUCCGCCGCCUUAGGAUGGGUCUGCGGCCGAUUAGGUAGUUGUUGGGGUAACGGCCCAACAAGCCUGUAAUCGGUACGGGUUGUGGGAGCAAGAGCCCGGAGAUGGAUUCCGAGACACGAAUCCAGGCCCUACGGGGCGCAGCAGGCGCGAAAACUUUACAAUGCAGGCAACUGUGAUAAGGGAACCCCGAGUGCCCGUAUGGACGGGCUGUUCAGGUGCUUAAAAACCACCUGGAGAAAGGGCCGGGCAAGACCGGUGCCAGCCGCCGCGGUAAUACCGGCGGCUCGAGUGGUGGCCACUAUUACUGGGCUUAAAGCGUCCGUAGCUUGGUCGUUAAGCCUCUGGGGAAAUCUUCCGGCUCAACCGGAAGGCGUCUCAGGGGAACUGGCGACCUAGGGAUCGGGAGAGGUGAGAGGUACUCUGGGGGUAGGAGUGAAAUCCUGUAAUCCUCAGGGGACCACCUGUGGCGAAGGCGUCUCACCAGAACGACUCCGACAGUGAGGGACGAAAGCUGGGGGAGCAAACCGGAUUAGAUACCCGGGUAGUCCCAGCCGUAAACGAUGCGCGUUAGGUGUAUCGGUGACCACGAGUUACCGAGGUGCCGAAGGGAAACCGUGAAACGCGCCGCCUGGGAAGUACGGUCGCAAGGCUGAAACUUAA
This 752-nucleotide ribosomal RNA is filed under the name uncultured archaeon. Its description in RNAcentral is "bacterial SSU rRNA". It matches the Rfam family "Archaeal small subunit ribosomal RNA", at positions 102 to 859 of the family's 1478-position model. The record is from RNAcentral.